CCGGAUUUACUCACAUAGUUCUACAAUCUUCUUCAAGCUUCUGUUGUCUCCUUCCUGCAAGUUAGCAAGUACUCGAGGCACUUCAGAAGACUAGUGAAAGGCAAACGGCAGAACCUAAGCUUGAAGAAAUGAACCAACCUGUUCAAGGGGACAGCUCCAGCACCCCUGCUAACCUUCCUUUGAAGCGAAGAAGGGGUCGCCCUCGUAAGGAUCCUAGCUUGAAGCGUGUUGUUCGUGCUCAGGUUCCUCCACCUUUUGAAUUAGUGCAAGAGAUCCAACAAGUAAACAGAAAUGAUGGUAUGAUUGGUCAGGCUGUAACAGGUGUUGUUGAGUCUGCAUUUGAUGCUGGUUAUUUGCUCAAUGUUAGAAUUGGUGACUCCAAUACGAACUACAGGGGUGUAGUUUUUAAGCCAGGACAUUAUAUUCCUGUCACAGCUGCAAAUGAUGUCGCCCCACAUCUUGAGAUGCUCAGAAGAAAUGAGGUUCGUCCUCCGGCUGUAAACCAGCUUCAGGCGUAUGGCCCUAGGGCUGAGCGCAAUGGAUCAGUUAAGCUUGGAUCUAGGUCCUCAAAAAGCAAACAGGUAAUAAUGCAUCCCUCAGUCCCUCCAGUGGGUGUCAGAGGCACAGUAGUUCCUGUUGUGCUACAACCUGUCAAUUUAACAAAUGGACUAGCAUCUAGUCAAAGCUCUGCAUCCCAAGCUUCAAACAGGGAGUCUAUAAGGGAGAAAGAUGUUCAGAUGGUUAAGCCAUUGGCUAUGCUGCCACCUGAUGGACCAGUAACCCCUGGACAGCUACCACCAGAACCAACUCGUGAAAUACUUGCUUCACAAGCUCAAGUUGGCAACAAAGUAGCAAUAGGUACUGGGCAGAAUGAAGGCUAUCUUAGCAAGGGAGGAGAAGCUGUCAAAGAGGAAAAGGCGCAGCCAGCUGCAUCAACCAACAUAGCAAUACCUGUUGCAGUGGCCUACGUGUCUCAAGGAUCUGGGCUGGCAAAAGAAGAUACUGGAAACAAUGAGGCCUCUAACAAGUUGCCAGCUGAACAUUCACCUGUGAUACCCAAACUAGAUACUGUGAAUCAGGUUCCCUCAGCAAAACCAAGUGAACCAGCAAUCCCCACUCUUCCUACCCAGGCUACAUCUGUUCCUAAGCUGCUGAUGAACUAUGGUACUGGCAGGAUGACCGAACUUCUACAGGCUGUGCAGGAAAAUCUGAAGGAGAACCAGCUGCUUCGUACUGGAGAAUCAGGACUUGGUGUGAUGAAGACUCCAGCAACUGAUGGCAGUAUGGAGG
Molecule: unclassified non-coding RNA, 1290 nt
Filed under: Hevea brasiliensis (rubber tree)
Lineage: Eukaryota; Viridiplantae; Streptophyta; Magnoliopsida; Malpighiales; Euphorbiaceae
Source: RNAcentral